AUGAGGACCCUUUUGGUUUUGAAGAUUAUUUUCCUUCAAUGAUUGACACAUUGGGGGUUGAAAGAUUCAUGGAAGAACUAUGCAAUGGUUUUUGCAUGCUAAUGGAUGUAAGUAUAGGGCUCAUCACAUUUGAAAGCUUGAAAAGGAACACAAUCUUGAUGGGAUUAAGUGAAUUGAAAGAUGAAGAACUUCUUUGCAUGUUGAUUGAAGGAGAUUUGGAUGGAGAUGGAGCUCUCAAUCAAAUGGAGUUUUGUUCACUCAUGUUUAGAUUAAGUCCUGGAUUAAUG
RNAcentral lists this unclassified non-coding RNA (287 nucleotides) under Hevea brasiliensis (rubber tree). The record is from RNAcentral. Lineage: Eukaryota; Viridiplantae; Streptophyta; Magnoliopsida; Malpighiales; Euphorbiaceae.